CACGUAGGCACCAAGCGUUGUCCGGAUUUAUUGGGCGUAAAGAGCUCGUAGGCGGUUCAGUAAGUCGGGUGUGAAAACUUUGGGCUUAACCCAAAGCGUGCAUCUGAUACUGCUGUGACUUGAGUUCGGUAGGGGAGUGGGGAAUUCCUAGUGUAGCGGUGAAAUGCGCAAAUAUUAGGAGGAACACCGGUGGCGAAGGCGCCACUCUGGGCCGAAACUGACGCUGAGGAGCGAAAGCAUGGGUAGCAAACAGG
RNAcentral lists this ribosomal RNA (254 nucleotides) under uncultured bacterium. RNAcentral's name for it is "partial 16S ribosomal RNA". It matches the Rfam family "Bacterial small subunit ribosomal RNA", at positions 524 to 776 of the family's 1533-position model. The record is from RNAcentral.